Long non-coding RNA from Rhineura floridana, 2011 nucleotides. RefSeq lists it as uncharacterized. The transcript has 3 exons. The record is from RefSeq and is a predicted model, not a curated record. NCBI's taxonomy places the organism in Eukaryota, Metazoa, Chordata, Lepidosauria, Squamata, Rhineuridae.
AUGCCUCAAGCCCCUCACCUGUAAAAUGCUAGGGCACAGUUCAGAGCUCAAAGAGGCAUUGUCUUGUCCAAGGCUGCCUACAAGGUGUUCAAGUGAAGGCCUGUGUAUCAGCAAAAUAAGGCAACAAGCACCCUGGUGUGACGUACCAAAUAAAAUGGCUUGUGUUUCGAAGUGAUGAUCCAACAUCAGUUUAAGUUCCUCUUACAUUGCGUAAAGGUACAGUACAGCAAACGAGACAACCUGGCCUCUGCCCGAACGGUUAAAACUGCAUCUUGAAUGGGCUGCUGCAAAGGGAACUCACUUCCAGUGAGGAACAAGACUUGGGAGGGAAAUGUAGUGCAUCCAGAACGAAAUGCUGCUAGAAAACCAAGAGUGUAUCCUUGCUUUGGCUGAGAAAGCUAUGGUGAAGAACUUUUAAAGUGAUCGCUGAGAAGUGGGGAUAGGGUGGGGGUGAGGAGAAGAGGAAGGACAAGUUUUGUCUCACCAAUUAUGGAAGUACUGAAAAUCUCUAGAGCUGCUCUGGAAUCUUAGGCAUAAUUCAAAAUCAAGAAUCAGCAUAUAAACAGCAAUGUCUUCAAAGUUAAGCAUGGAUUUCUGCAUACUUUUGGUUUCACUUACUAGCAAGACAGUCAGUGGGAUGUAGUGGUUAGAUUUUUGAACUAAGAACCUGAGAGACCAGCUUUCAAAAAGCCAUUGAGCCAUGAAGCUCUUUGGCUGACCUUGGACUGGUUACCAUUUCUCAGUCUGAACUACAGCACAAGGCUGUUAUGAAGAUAAAGUGUUGGUGAGGAACUUCAUACAGAAGCUGGAGGUUAAAAAAUAAAAUAAAAAGAAGCAAGACCGAACCACCUCAUUCCUUGCUUCAAGGCUGCAACUGACAAUAUCCAACCUCUGCUGGAACUAGCAGGAGAGGAAAAGGGCAGCACAAAAGGUCCAGUCUUCCUUUUCUUCCUCCCCACUCCUGCUUCUUCUGUCUAGGAACAAUUGAACGUAUAGAUUUCACCCCCACUCAAGAUCUGAGCCUCAGUUGGCCUUUGGCACUCAUGGCUCUCCUUUGGUGGGAGGAAAUCUGAAAAGCCCCCCUUCACAUUAGAAACAGUGAAAGAUGGGACUGCAUCACACUUCUUUCCCUGAGACAGGAAUACUAACGAAUCAAUGCUCAGUGUGGGACAGCAGGACAAGGCUGGACCCAUCCAGCCAUCUGUAUUCAUCAUGCCCGAAGUGCAAUACCAAAAGAGAAGCAUGUGUGUGCAAUGGCCAAUCCUGCCCCAGGAAAAUGUUGCUCGGUAAGUGCUGCCAUUUUCAGUGGCUAUUCAGGGAGCCUGCCGCAGGUGUCCUUAAGAUCCAGAACAGAUGGGGACAUACAACAACAAAUCAGUACUCCCAUAUUAAAGCUGCAGAUGCCUCUUGUGCUAAUGAGUUAUAUGCUCUGGGCUUUGAUCCUAGGUCUGUCUGAGAUAGCAGAAAUGCUGACACUUGGGAUGGAGGACAAACAAACAAUGAAAUCCCUGUGGAGCUAGAGCAGAUGUCCAUGAUAGUGUCUGAAAGCCAGCAGAUGGGUCCUGGGUUGCUGCCACAUUCAAGAGGAGGAAAAGGAAAUUGGGCUGCUCCACAGGGUAGGGUCUGUUUAAAUCUCCACUUGACCUGUGGUACUCCGAAAUGAUACAUCACUAAUUUUCAUCAGACAGCCAAACUUGGCAGAAAGUAGUUGAAAACAAAAGAAAAAUGCUAAUUGCAGGAUAAGUGCAACUCUUGGGGUUUGUGGGGGGCUCAUGUCAUCAUAUGGCUGAAAAGCCUUUGGUGAAUAUAUCUUUGUGCCCUUAGGGUGGGCCAAUGGUAAAUGUGAACAAAAGAGAAAAUUGGGGUGUUUAGACAUAGUGCCCAGCCACUGAGAUGCAAGAUGGCCAUUUGAACAUAGUGAUUGCAUGAUGGUGGCAGCCACAUGGGAAAGCUGUUGGUUGGCAGCAUCUGGCCAUUAAGAAGAGUAUGACUGUGCUCCCACUCUGAAGUA